RNAcentral lists this ribosomal RNA (766 nucleotides) under uncultured marine bacterium. Its description in RNAcentral is "bacterial SSU rRNA". It matches the Rfam family "Bacterial small subunit ribosomal RNA", at positions 56 to 870 of the family's 1533-position model. The record is from RNAcentral.
UGCAAGUCGAACGAAGUAGCAAUACUUAGUGGCAGACGGGUGAGUAACAUGUGGGUAUCUGCCCUUUGGCCUGGAAUAACACGAGGAAACUUGUGCUAAUACCGGAUAAGUCUUUACAGAGAAAGCUUUAUGCACCAUUGGAUGAGCCCGCACUUGAUUAGUUUGUUGGUAGGGUAAUGGCCUACCAAGACUGUGAUCAAUAGCUGAUUUGAGAGGAUGAUCAGCCACAUUGGGACUGAGACACGGCCCAAACUCCUACGGGAGGCAGCAGUGGGGAAUCUUGCACAAUGGAGGAAACUCUGAUGCAGCGAUGCCGCGUGAGUGAAGAAGGCCUUUGGGUUGUAAAGCUCUUUCGUCGGGGAAGAAAAUGACUGUACCCGAAUAAGAAGGUCCGGCUAACUUCGUGCCAGCAGCCGCGGUAAUACGAAGGGACCUAGCGUAGUUCGGAAUUACUGGGCUUAAAGAGUUCGUAGGUGGUUGAAAAAGUUGGUGGUGAAAUCCCAGAGCUUAACUCUGGAACUGCCAUCAAAACUUUUCAGCUAGAGUUUGAUAGAGGAAAGCAGAAUUUCUAGUGUAGAGAUGAAAUUCGUAGAUAUUAGAAAGAAUACCAAUUGCGAAGGCAGCUUUCUGGAUCAUUACUGACGCUGAGGAACGAAAGCAUGGGUAGCGAAGAGGAUUAGAUACCCUCGUAGUCCAUGCCGUAAACGAUGUGUGUUAGACGUUGGAAAUUUAUUUUCAGUGUCGCAGCGAAAGCGAUAAACACACC